RNAcentral lists this ribosomal RNA (253 nucleotides) under uncultured bacterium. RNAcentral's name for it is "partial 16S ribosomal RNA". It matches the Rfam family "Bacterial small subunit ribosomal RNA", at positions 524 to 776 of the family's 1533-position model. The record is from RNAcentral.
UACGGAGGGGGCUAGCGUUGUUCGGAAUUACUGGGCGUAAAGCGCACGUAGGCGGCUUUGCAAGUUAGAGGUGAAAGCCCGGAGCUCAACCCCGGAACUGCCUCUGAAACUGCAGGGCUAGAAUCUUGGAGAGGCGAGUGGAAUUCCGAGUGUAGAGGUGAAAUUCGUAGAUAUUCGGAAGAACACCAGUGGCGAAGGCGACUCGCUGGACAAGUAUUGACGCUGAGGUGCGAAAGCGUGGGGAGCGAACAGG